AAUAGAUACCCUGGUAGUCCACGCCGUAAACGAUGAGUGCUAAGUGUUAGAGGGUUUCCGCCCUUUAGUGCUGCAGCUAACGCAUUAAGCACUCCGCCUGGGGAGUACGGCCGCAAGGCUGAAACUCAAAGGAAUUGACGGGGGCCCGCACAAGCGGUGGAGCAUGUGGUUUAAUUCGAAGCAACGCGAAGAACCUUACCAGGUCUUGACAUCCUCUGCCAACCCUAGAGAUAGGGCGUUCCCCUUCGGGGGACAGAGUGACAGGUGGUGCAUGGUUGUCGUCAGCUCGUGUCGUGAGAUGUUGGGUUAAGUCCCGCAACGAGCGCAACCCUUGAUCUUAGUUGCCAGCAUUCAGUUGGGCACUCUAAGGUGACUGCCGGUGACAAACCGGAGGAAGGUGGGGAUGACGUCAAAUCAUCAUGCCCCUUAUGACCUGGGCUACACACGUGCUACAAUGGAUGGUACAAAGAGUUGCGAACCCGCGAGGGUAAGCCAAUCUCAUAAAAGCCAUUCUCAGUUCGGA
Molecule: ribosomal RNA, 523 nt
Filed under: uncultured bacterium
Lineage: Bacteria
Description: bacterial SSU rRNA
Rfam family: Bacterial small subunit ribosomal RNA
Source: RNAcentral